AAUCCAUGGUGAGGACACGUUCGCAAUAGGUCCUUGUAUCUCCCCCAUGCAUCGUAAAGAGUUUCUAUGUUCAUCUGUACGAACGAAGAGAUAUCAUUACGUAAUU
Non-coding RNA from Gossypium arboreum, 106 nucleotides. NCBI's taxonomy places the organism in Eukaryota, Viridiplantae, Streptophyta, Magnoliopsida, Malvales, Malvaceae. The record is from Rfam.